RNAcentral lists this ribosomal RNA (397 nucleotides) under uncultured Massilia sp. RNAcentral's name for it is "bacterial SSU rRNA". It matches the Rfam family "Bacterial small subunit ribosomal RNA", at positions 999 to 1397 of the family's 1533-position model. Lineage: Bacteria; Pseudomonadati; Pseudomonadota; Betaproteobacteria; Burkholderiales; Oxalobacteraceae. The record is from RNAcentral.
UUGAGAGAUCGAGGAGUGCCCGAAAGGGAGCCUGAACACAGGUGCUGCAUGGCUGUCGUCAGCUCGUGGGUUCGUGAGAUGUUGGGUUAAGUCCCGCAACGAGCGCAAACCCCUACCCAUAAGGGCCAUGAGGAAAUGACGGGCACUCUAAUGAGACUCCGGUGACAAACCGGAGGAAGGUGGGGAUGAUCAGUCCUCGCCCUUAUGGGUAGGGCUCACACGUCAUACAAUGGUACAUACAGAGGGCCGCCACGCGAGGGGGAGCUAAUCCCAGAAAGUGUAUCGUAGUCCGGAUCGCAGUCUGCAACUCGACUGCGUGAAGUUGGAAUCGGGCUAGUAAUCGCGGAUCAGCUUCUUCGCGUUGAAUACGUUCCCGGGUCUUGUACACACCGCCCGU